CCUACGGGUGGCAGCAGUGAGGAAUAUUGGUCAAUGGACGAGAGUCUGAACCAGCCAAGUAGCGUGAAGGAUGACUGCCCUAUGGGUUGUAAACUUCUUUUAUAAAGGAAUAAAACGAGGCACGUGUGCCUGUUUGCAGGUACUUUAUGAAUAAGGAUCGGCUAACUCCGUGCCAGCAGCCGCGGUAAUACGGAGGAUCCGAGCGUUAUCCGGAUUUAUUGGGUUUAAAGGGAGCGUAGAUGGGUUGUUAAGUCAGUUGUGAAAGUUUGCGGCUCAACCGUAAAAUUGCAAUUGAUACUGGCAGUCUUGAGUACGGUUGAGGUAGGCGGAAUGCGUGGUGUAGCGGUGAAAUGCUUAGAUAUCACGCAGAACCCCGAUUGCGAAGGCAGCUUACUAGCCUGUGACUGACAUUGAUGCUCGAAAGUGUGGGUAUCAAACAGGAUUAGAUACCCCAGUAGUC
This 460-nucleotide ribosomal RNA is filed under the name uncultured bacterium. RNAcentral's name for it is "partial 16S ribosomal RNA". It matches the Rfam family "Bacterial small subunit ribosomal RNA", at positions 338 to 795 of the family's 1533-position model. The record is from RNAcentral.